RNAcentral lists this ribosomal RNA (604 nucleotides) under Maianthemum atropurpureum. Its description in RNAcentral is "eukaryotic LSU rRNA". The stretch from base 242 to 397 matches the Rfam family "5.8S ribosomal RNA". Lineage: Eukaryota; Viridiplantae; Streptophyta; Magnoliopsida; Asparagales; Asparagaceae. The record is from RNAcentral.
GAGACCCGAACGGACGAUCGCGAACCCGUCAACGCUCCAGCGGGGGCGGAGGGAGGGCGGGCAUCUAAACCGCCCGACCCCGCCSCCCCGGAGCCCCAURGCCGCCCCCGCCCCGCCUCGCUGCGGGACGGGCGGCGGGAACAAUACCCGGCGCGAUGGGCGCCAAGGAACAGUGCAGUCGGAGAGCGCCGCAYGCCGGUUCCGGCAYGCGGUGUGAUCCUUCCAUAAAUCUAACUUUUACGACUCUCGGCAACGGAUAUCUUGGCUCUCGCAUCGAUGAAGAACGUAGCGAAAUGCGAUACUUGGUGUGAAUUGCAGAAUCCCGUGAACCAUCGAGUCUUUGAACGCAAGUUGCGCCCGAGGCUAUCCGGCCGAGGGCACGCCUGCCUGGGCGUCACGCCUCACGUCGCUCCGCACACCCUGCCCCUCCCCCGAGCCGGGGAGACGGUGGAUGCGGAUGCGGAGAUUGGCCCCCCGUGCCUUGCGGUGCGGCGGGUCGAAGUGCGGGUCGCCGGCCGGGACGGACGCGGCGAGUGGUGGACGGACACGUACGGCGCUGAACGUCGCCUCCGCUCGCGGCCCCAGCGAACCAUGCAAGGAACCC